AUCGGCGACUUAUUGAGUAGACAGAUUAAUAGCUCUUUCUCAAAAUUAAGGGUAGUGGUGCAUGGCCGUUCUUAGUUCGUGGAAUGAUUUGUCUGGUUAAUUCCGAUAACGAACGUGACCUUAUCAUAUUAAAUAGAUACCUAUCAGCAGUUGAGAUGCCGAAGCCGUAGUAUUGGUAGCAAUAUUGGUGCUGCGGUGGAGUCUCACCUGAUAGUUUGUCUUUCGCUCCUUGUGGGUGUUUGACUUGAAUCUGCUUAAUAGGACAAUUUGUGUUUAGCAAAAUGAGAUAAGGCAAUAACAGGUCCGUGAUGCCCUUAGAUGUCCUGGGCUGCACGCGCGCUACAAUGAAGACAUCAACGUGUAUCCUAUAUCGAA
This 375-nucleotide ribosomal RNA is filed under the name Culicoides scoticus. RNAcentral's name for it is "bacterial SSU rRNA". It matches the Rfam family "Eukaryotic small subunit ribosomal RNA", at positions 1223 to 1537 of the family's 1831-position model. Lineage: Eukaryota; Metazoa; Arthropoda; Insecta; Diptera; Ceratopogonidae. The record is from RNAcentral.